This 482-nucleotide ribosomal RNA is filed under the name uncultured bacterium. RNAcentral describes it as "bacterial SSU rRNA". It matches the Rfam family "Bacterial small subunit ribosomal RNA", at positions 30 to 507 of the family's 1533-position model. The record is from RNAcentral.
AUUGAACGCUGGCGGCAUGCCUUACACAUGCAAGUCGAACGGUAACGCGGGGCAACCUGGCGACGAGUGGCGAACGGGUGAGUAAUGUAUCGGAACGUGCCCAGUUGUGGGGGAUAACUGCUCGAAAGAGCAGCUAAUACCGCAUACGACCUGAGGGUGAAAGCGGGGGAUCGCAAGACCUCGCGCAAUUGGAGCGGCCGAUAUCAGAUUAGGUAGUUGGUGAGGUAAAGGCUCACCAAGCCGACGAUCUGUAGCUGGUCUGAGAGGAUGAUCCGCCACACUGGGACUGAGACACGGCCCAGACUCCUACGGGAGGCAGCAGUGGGGAAUUUUGGACAAUGGGCGCAAGCCUGAUCCAGCCAUGCCGCGUGAGUGAAGAAGGCCUUCGGGUUGUAAAGCUCUUUCAGGUGGAAAGAAAACGCAUGGGUCAAUACCCUGUGUGGAUGACGGUACCAUCAGAAGAAGCACCGGCUAACUACGUG